UGGGGGAAUAUUGCGCAAUGGGGGCAACCCUGACGCAGCAACGCCGCGUGAUUGAUGAAGGUCUUCGGAUUGUAAAAAUCUUUAAUCAGGGACGAAACAAAUGACGGUACCUGAAGAAUAAGCUCCGGCUAACUACGUGCCAGCAGCCGCGGUAAUACGUAGGGAGCAAGCGUUAUCCGGAUUUACUGGGUGUAAAGGGCGUGUAGGCGGGCUGUAAGUUGGGAGUGAAAUCCAGGGGCUUAACCCCUGAACUGCUUUCAAAACUGCGGAUCUUGAGUGAUGGAGAGGCAGGCGGAAUUCCCAGUGUAGCGGUGAAAUGCGUAGAUAUUGGGAGGAACACCAG
Molecule: ribosomal RNA, 343 nt
Filed under: uncultured Butyricicoccus sp.
Lineage: Bacteria; Bacillati; Bacillota; Clostridia; Eubacteriales; Butyricicoccaceae
Description: bacterial SSU rRNA
Rfam family: Bacterial small subunit ribosomal RNA
Source: RNAcentral